CGGACGGGUGAGUAACGCGUGGAGAACCUGCCGUAUACUGGGGGAUAACACUUAGAAAUAGGUGCUAAUACCGCAUAAGCGCACAGCUUCGCAUGAAGCAGUGUGAAAAACUCCGGUGGUAUACGAUGGAUCCGCGUCUGAUUAGCUUGUUGGCGGGGUAAAGCCCACCAAGGCGACGAUCAGUAGCCGGCCUGAGAGGGUGAACGGCCACAUUGGGACUGAGACACGGCCCAAACUCCUACGGGAGGCAGCAG
Molecule: ribosomal RNA, 254 nt
Filed under: uncultured bacterium
Lineage: Bacteria
Description: partial 16S ribosomal RNA
Rfam family: Bacterial small subunit ribosomal RNA
Source: RNAcentral